This 1059-nucleotide unclassified non-coding RNA is filed under the name Bombus terrestris (buff-tailed bumblebee). RNAcentral's name for it is "misc RNA ENSBTSG00005025539.1". Lineage: Eukaryota; Metazoa; Arthropoda; Insecta; Hymenoptera; Apidae. The record is from RNAcentral.
GGUGAUAGUGCAGAAUAUUACAUUCAGUGCUUUAUCGUACGCAGAGAAAAUUUCACAGAUUUUAAACGUGAUAGUGAGCAAGUUGUCAGAAUGAGUUAUCGGACUAUAUUCGUUUUCAAGAGCUCGUUAUCAACUUGAGGAGAUUUCAACCGUAAAAAAUCACAAGAUCGACGUGAUAAAAUAUCGAACGAUUUUUAUAUGUAAAAUAUUAGACCGCAGGCAGCAAAAGUGUACGAAGUCGACACAUUGCGUGAAACUUAUCAGCGUAAAAUUUUCUAAAUACCAUGGUGCCUCUUGGCGGGAAGAAUAUCGAAACCUCGCGUGGCAGAGACUUUACGGAGUGCAAACGUAUUUUUCACACAGUGCUCGUUACAUCGCGUUAUUGACAAGGUGUUCUUUUCGUCGACACGCAAAGAGACGCUUCAGUGUAGAUCAAUUGUUUCCUCGUUACAGAAAAAGAAAAAGAAGAAACAAAAAAAAAAAAGAAACGAAAGAACGAAAAUAUAAAGUGAUCGUGUGUCGUUCGUCGCGUUGAUUCCUUUUCCUGCGGUAUGAGCACAAGCUGGAUCUAUUUCCGUCGUGAAUUUGUUCUUAGAGCUGUUUCGAAUAUUCUACUCUGUCGCAGGAGAAUUGCGAUACCUGUUGUACAACUCGUCUGGCCAGAGAACCACGUUUACUACUGAAUCUUGAUUCUCGACGUUGAACAAGCAAGCGUGACGAAACUGAAACUCUGACAUAGAGAUUCGUUACACGGGCGACGAAGAGUCCCAUGUUAUAUUUUUUCUUUGCUGUUAGAAGCGCAUAUCGCGUUAGUACGUUCGUAGUGUGGCAUCGAAGUGCCUUGCUAAAGUAGAUAAGAAACGAAUAAUACCGAUAAGUUGUCAAUACCAUUUCUGGUCAUAUUCGUUCCAAUGAAGAUAAAGAAAAAUAAAUUAUUUUUGUAAGCUUACGUCAGUAGGAGCCUGAUAAAAUAUAAUCAAAGUUUCGACGGCCGAAAACCAUAAAACGGGUCGAAGGACGGCCGCCAGAAAUCCGCCUUGGCCUACUCGAUUGAAAAUC